ACUAGAGUAGCACUCGCAUAUCAAUAAGCGGAGGAAAAGAAACUAACAAGGAUUCCCCUAGUAACGGCGAGUGAAGCGGGAAGAGCUCAAAUUUGGAAUCUUAAAGGGUUUCCCUUUACGAAUUGUAGUUUAAAGAAGUGUUUUCUGUUGAGGUUUUGGUAAAAGUUCUUUGGAAUAGGACAUCAUAGAGGGUGAGAAUCCCGUAUUUGACCUUUACUUUCAACUUUGUGAUACACUUUCAAAGAGUCGGAUUGUUUGGGAAUGCAGUCCAAAAUGGGUGGUAAAUUUCAUCUAAAGCUAAAUAUUGGCGAGAGACCGAUAGCGAACAAGUACCGUGAGGGAAAGAUGAAAAGAACUUUGAAAAGAGAGUUAAACAGUACGUGAAAUUGUCAAAAGGGAAGCGUUUGACACCAGUGUUGUUUUUCUGAAAAUCAAUUAAAGAACUGUUUAUGCUAAGUUGUUUAGACUUUAUCAGCUAUCUGCUUAGUUUUGAGCUUUUCCUUAAUGCACUUUUCGGUUAACAAGUCAACAUCAAUUUCUUUUGCUGUAAAAAAGCUUGAGGAAGGUGGCUUGAGAUUCGUCUUAAGUGUUUAUAGCCUCUUGCCUAUGCAGUCGGAGAGAUUGAGGUCUGCAGCGUAGAUCCUUCGGGGCUAAAUGCAUUUGUGCUAAGUUAUAGCAUUUUAUAGACAACUUGUUGACUAUGAUUUGUCUUGUAGCUUACUCGCUUAUGUUAUUUUACCUACGCUUAGGAUGUUGAACUCUAUCACACACAG
This 773-nucleotide ribosomal RNA is filed under the name uncultured Neocallimastigales. Its description in RNAcentral is "partial large subunit ribosomal RNA". It matches the Rfam family "Eukaryotic large subunit ribosomal RNA", at positions 20 to 621 of the family's 3401-position model. The record is from RNAcentral. Lineage: Eukaryota; Fungi; Neocallimastigomycota; Neocallimastigomycetes; Neocallimastigales.